AUGAUCAAUAUGGGUGGACUUAACAUGGGGAAUUAUGGGAGCAUCAAGGAAUCCUCCAAAAUGUCCCAUUAUAAAUCCUUUAUAAUGCAAGUCAAGGUCCCCUCUUUGUCUGCUAAGAACAUUUCAGCACCACUUUGAAUAGUGAAAGACUAGAGGAGCAACUUACCACAUUAAGAGACAAAAAUGUUUAUUAAAAAUAUAUAUUUGUUGUUUAUACUGCAGACCUUGUUAUUAAUUCAUGCCAUCAUUAAAUGGCAUUCAAAAUAUUAUCCAAAAGUAUGUGGCCAUAAUUUCAUCUUUUGGGCAAUAUUUGCAUUGUAAAGAAUUAAUUAAAUAAUUUCUCUCAAGUUAAAUCAUCAGUUUCAUAAAAGAGUUAAAGUAAUUCAUUGUAGUAAGCAAAUACUCUUUAGGUCAAAAAAUGUGUGUGUGUGUGUGUGGGUGUGUGUGUGUGUGUGUGUGUGUUCUUGUUUUUAUCACCUCAUGGGGACUUCAGUCUGUUUACACAGUCACGUCAUGGGGACCUACUCCCUCAUGGGGACCUAAAACCAGGUCCCCAUAAGGAUUAUGGUUCUAAAUGACUGUAUAAGCCAUUUUAAAGGUGCUGGUGAAGUUUUAGCAAUAUCCCAUAACACAUGUUUUUCCGUCACAUUUGUGUGUGUGUGACCCAAUACUGCCCCAUAAGGUUUCAGAGUGGUACUGCACCUCAUUGGAAUUCACACACUUUUCCAAAUUUGGUCGGGUACCACCUUCUUCCUGGUCCCCAUAAAGAAGGUUAUUGCAAGAACUUAAAAUUAUUUGGUUUAAAAGACAAUACCAACUUAAAAGAUAAAAUUCACAACUCUAAAUGAAAAUGGAAAUUUUCCUACAAAGAUUGUCUCCACUGAUUCAGUGUUUAGACUUUUGAUUCUGUGGAAAUACCCACCACCAAGAAUUGUUCAUAUGUAUAUAUAUUGUCUGUCUACUGAUCUUUAAUAAAGUUAUAAAAAGACAAAAAUGGGGUUAACUGUUCGAAUUUAUUAAUAACAGAGUAUGAAACAAAAUGCAUGAAAGACUCUGAAGGUGUAAACAUUUGCGCACAUAUUUAGUAAAUAUUCAACACUAUAGUUUUGGAACAGUUUUAAGAAAGCUCUAUAUAUUUGUUUAUGCAACUUUUUCAACUACAGUUAUUUUUUAGUGAAGAACAGGCAAGUGUUUAAGUCUCUGGAUCUGCAUUGAUGUUGAAGCCAUAAGGUAAAAUGCCAACAGUAAAAGAAUUUUACAGCUUAUUGACCCAAGUGGACUGUACACAAAUGGAGAACCUUUCAGUUUUAUUGAUAAUUAAAUUAUAAAAAUAUUCAAUAUAUUUCUUCAACUACAGAAUUAAAAUUCCUUUGUGUUUACUUUCAAAUAAAUUGCCCAUACAUUUAAGCUUGGGGUCAUGAAACAAAAAAAAAGUUAAAAGGUUCAAGGGGUUUAAAAUGCUCUAUUUCUGACAGUGACUUUGUAGCAGUCACCUGUCCUGGAUUAAUAUGUAGUAAAUGUCAUAAUCAAGCACACUGUGUGCUUAUGGCCAGUAUGUAUAUUUUCCUGCCAUUUAUGACAUCAAUGGGACACAGGUUUUAUGUAUUUACCCCCAGAGACAUUUACUGCCAUUGUGGGUUAUGUCCGUUUGGGCCUGUCCUUUGUGUUUAUCCAUAUUUCUGCUGGUGAAAUGCUUUUUCUGCACCUGUUGAUUACAUAGUGUAAUCAACCGGUGAACACAUAACGCUUUGACGUAUUUGACUCCUUUGUUGAAACUGCACAUGCGGCAAACUGCUUUGGUUACAUCCUGUGUUUUAUCUCUUUUAUCCCAUUUAAAGCCAGGGUAAUCCCAAUUAGACAACUUUCAGUGUAACCACUCAAUAACCAAAAUAAAAGUUUUAUUACCGAUGCUCUUCUCUAUAUACAACAGUAAUUUAAUCUUCCAUAUAUUUGCUCACGGGUUCGAACUUAUUAGUAUACUCACCAACCGGUAUGUGCACGCUUCUUCUUGCCAUACCUAAGCAGAAGUAAAUGUAUUUGUAAUAGAUCCCUGCUGUUCCAUCGCCAAUACAACUGACCAAUAAAGGCAACAACAAGGUUAUAGGAAGCCACAAAUUGUUAACUUAAGAAACCAUAUGGGCGUUUAAUCCAUUGUUACCUCCCCAUUGGUUUUCUUCUGGAUUUUCUGUAAAAACUCACAUGCAGCCGCUGCUGUUUUGAAAGCAUGAGUUCGGUCUUGAUAAGUCACCAGCAGCUUGGCUGGGUGAGCCACCCCGUGGCGCAAUCCCAGUUUGCGUAGCUCCGUGAGUAUCGGGUCAAACUGCUUCCGAAGCUGGAAAAGACCCGCCGCAGUAUCUGGGUAGAACCAGAUUUGAUGAUUCUGGUAGCAAAUUUCAGUAUUAGCUCUUGAUGCUAGAGCAAUAAGCUGCUUAUCCUUGUAGCUGAGAAAUCUCAUUAUUAAAGUGCGAGGCGCUGCGGUGCCGUCUCUCCGGGGUCCAAUUCGAUGCGCUCUUUCGACAGCCACCGCUCCAACACCAAGGGUCUCUGGCAACCACUUCUCUAGGAACUCACAUGGAUUCUGCCCUUCAGCUCCCUCCAGGAGUCCGAUAAGCCUUAGGUUGUUUUGUCUCUACCUAGCCUCCAGAUCCGUAACUUUAUCUUCCAAGUCUUUCUUCUUAGACUCUAGCAUAUCCACCUUAGUUCGUAGCAUUUCUAUCUCACUCUCUGCAUCAGAAAUACAUGUUUCGGAUUCUGUGAUUUGUUGGGUACAGUCAUUUAUCUCUUUUCUUACACUGUCGAUGGAGCCCAGAACUUUGCCAAAUCUAGAGGAGAAAUCCUUCUGGAUCGAAUUAACAACAGAAAGUAUUUCGUCCACCUUUCUGCUUUGAGACUUUGGGUUCUCUUCUCUGUCUGCGGCAGCCAUCGGAGCUGAGCAUGAGCUAGCAUUAGCUUUCUCCAUUUCACCUCGAAGAUGGUAUUCUGUUAGCUUAUGCUGUUUCGCCUUUUCACGUACUUCUAGGGAUGUUUUUGCUGCUUUAGGCAUUAUUCCGUACUCACACGCUCAUUUGUCAUUUAGUUUGUUUUCAAAGGAAGGAGUUUUAGGUAAAUUCUUUGACUGGAACAGCAGAGCGGUGAAGACACGUCCUCUCACAUGGCCGCCAUAACCGGAAGUCUGCAAUGGCAUUUUUACUGGAUUAUCAAAAAAAGCAAUAAGACAGCUCCAGCUUCUCCAAAAUGCUGCUGCAAGAGUCCUGACUAAAGCAAAAAGGGAUCAGCAUUUCAGUCCAGUUCUGAGAUCCUUGCACUGGCUGCCAGUUGCUCAACGAAUAGAAUUUAAAAUCUCCUUAAUGGUUUUUAAAGCUCUACAUAAUAAAAAUCCAGACUACAUUUUUGAUCUUCAACCCUAUGAACCACUCAGACCUUUAAGAUCAACCGAUUCAAACCUAUUAAUUAUUCCAAGAUUCAGAACUAAACAUAGUUUUUUAUGCUCUAGCUCUCUGGAAUAAGCUUCCUGCUCAUUGUAAGUCUAACCCUGCCUUGAGUUAAUUUAAAACUGUUGACAGUAUGAAUGUUUUUGUGCUCUCAUUUGUUGUUGUUUUUAUCAUUAUUGGAUUAUUGUGGGUCACAUCACGUGACCUGUCUAAUUUAAGACACUUGUGUACAAUAAAGGGUGUGUCCUUCAUGCAAAGAGGGUUCAACAUGAAAGCCA
Molecule: long non-coding RNA, 3709 nt
Organism: Xiphophorus hellerii (green swordtail)
Lineage: Eukaryota; Metazoa; Chordata; Actinopteri; Cyprinodontiformes; Poeciliidae
Exons: 2
Source: RefSeq, a predicted model, not a curated record